GUGCUCCCUUCGGCAGCACAUAUACUAAAAUUAGAACAACACAGCGAUUAGCAUGGUUGCUGUGCAAGAAUGACAUGUAAAUCUGUGAACUGUCCCAAAGAGAA
Molecule: small nuclear RNA, 104 nt
Organism: Artibeus jamaicensis (Jamaican fruit-eating bat)
Lineage: Eukaryota; Metazoa; Chordata; Mammalia; Chiroptera; Phyllostomidae
Source: RefSeq, a predicted model, not a curated record